Molecule: ribosomal RNA, 344 nt
Filed under: uncultured Glomeromycotina
Lineage: Eukaryota; Fungi; Glomeromycota
Description: SSU rRNA
Rfam family: Eukaryotic small subunit ribosomal RNA
Source: RNAcentral
AGCAGCCGCGGUAAUUCCAGCUUCAAUAGCGUAUAUUAAAGUUGUUGCAGUUAAAAAGCUCGUAGUUGAAUUUCGGGGUCAGUAGGUUGGUCGUGCCACUGGUACGUACUGGUCUCACUGAUUCCUCCUUCCUGAUGAACCGUAAUGCCAUUAAUUUGGUGUUGCGGGGAAACUGGACUGUUACUUUGAAAAAUUAGAGUGUUUAAAGCAGGCUAACGCUUGAAUACAUUAGCAUGGAAUAAUGAAAUAGGACGUUCGAUCCUAUUUGUUGGUUCUAGGAUUGACGUAAUGAUUAAUAGGGAUGGUUGGGGCAUUAGUAUUCAAUUGUCAGAGGUUGAAAAUUC